AUUGAACGCUGGCGGCAUGCUUUACACAUGCAAGUCGAACGGCAGCUCGGGCUUCGGCCUGGCGGCGAGUGGCGAACGGGUGAGUAAUUCAUCGGAACGUGCCCAGUCGUGGGGGAUAGCUCGGCGAAAGCCGGAUUAAUUCCGCAUACGACCUGAGGGUGAAAGCGGGGGAUCUUCGGACCUCGCGCUAUUGGAGCGGCCGAUGGCAGAUUAGCUAGUUGGUGGGGUAAAGGCCUACCAAGGCGACGAUCUGUAGCGGGUCUGAGAGGACGACCAGCCACACUGGCACUGAGACACGGCCCAGACUCCUACGGUAGGCAACAGUGGGGAAUUUUGGACAAUGGGCGAAAGCCUGAUCCAGCAAUGCCGCGUGUGUGAUGAAGGCCUUCGGGUUGUAAAGCACUUUUGGCGGGAACGAAAAGGACUGUGCCAAUACCACGGUACGAUGACGGUACCCUAAGAAUAAGCACCGGCUAACUACGUG
This 484-nucleotide ribosomal RNA is filed under the name uncultured bacterium. Its description in RNAcentral is "partial 16S ribosomal RNA". It matches the Rfam family "Bacterial small subunit ribosomal RNA", at positions 30 to 507 of the family's 1533-position model. The record is from RNAcentral.